Non-coding RNA from Monodelphis domestica (gray short-tailed opossum), 1267 nucleotides. Lineage: Eukaryota; Metazoa; Chordata; Mammalia; Didelphimorphia; Didelphidae. The record is from RefSeq and is a predicted model, not a curated record.
GAAGGAAGGAAGGAAGGAAGGAAGGAAGGAAGGAAGGAAGGAAGGAAAAAAGGAAGGAAGGAAGGAAGGAAAAAAGAAAGAAAGCCUGGAUACCACAUCAUCAAGGAAAACUGCCAUGAUGUCUUUGAAUAAGAGGGAAAAGGAAAAAUUGAGAGAAUCUACUUUUCACCUCCUGAAAGAGACCCCAAAAUAAAAUACCUCAGGACAAGUAUAGCCAAAUUCAAGAACUCUCAGGCCAAAGGGAAAGUUCUAUAAGCAACCAGAAGGAAACAAUUUAAAAAUCAUGGAGUCACAGUCAGGAUUACAUAGGACUUAACAGCAUCUACAUUAAAGAAGAUGUGGAAUCUGAUUUCCUGAGAGACAAAGGGCCUAGGACAACAACCUAGAGUUACAUACCCAGAAAAACUGAACAUAAACCUUCAGGGGGAAAACUUAACAUUCAAUGAAAUGGAAGAAUUUCAGACUUUCUUUACCAAAAAGUCAGAACUGAAAAUUUGAUGAACAAAUUUGAUACUGAAGAGAACAGAAAAAAGACUCAGCUGAAGCACCACCUUCUUCAUGAAGCCUUUCAAGAUGCCCUCCAGCUACUGGUAGUCUCUUCAAAAAAAAUUACCAGCCUAGAGGAACAUGAUGAAAACUUAUCAUGUGACACUUAUGAGGUUAAAAGAGCUCCCUCGGCCGCCAUCGAACUUCACAAACUGCCUGGCAUCCCAGAAUGGAACUAGGAGAUGAUGGGCAACAGAGGACUGCCUAAAGAAUUACAACCAUUCAGAAGUUGACCAGCAUGACUUAUCAGUCUAUAAAGGAUGACUUUUAUGGAGAAACUCCAUUGCUAUUUCAGAAUUCUCUCGUCCCCAUUACACGUCGAACAUGUGGAAAUUGUUCUCUGGAAAGUACAGGUCAGAAGCUAUAUCUAGAGUCUUUGAAUGGAUUCAGAUAUUGAAAAAUGGGAAAAAUAACAUAGCCCAUGCCAAGCUACUUGGCGUAACCUGCCAAAGGUGCCUACUUUUCUGGAGGGAGUAACCAAGGAAUACUGGGCAAGAAUCCAUAAGGAAAAAAAGAAAGAAACCUUUAUUAAGCACCUACUAUGUGUCAGGCACUGCGCUGAACACUGAGGAUUCAAAAGACGGUAAAAGGCAGAUGCUGUUUCAAGGAGCUCACAGUAUAAUGAAGGAGACAACAUGCAAAUAGCUACAUACAAACUAGUUAUAGACAGGAUAAAUUGGAGAAAAUCAACAGGGACGUGGUAUGGGCUAUUAGGCAUUAA